AUUGAACGCUGGCGGCAGGCCUAACACAUGCAAGUCGGACGGUAGCACAGAGAGCUUGCUCUUGGGUGACGAGCGGCGGACGGGUGAGUAAUGUCUGGGGAUCUGCCCGAUAGAGGGGGAUAACCACUGGAAACGGUGGCUAAUACCGCAUAACGUCGCAAGACCAAAGAGGGGGACCUUCGGGCCUCUCACUAUUGGAUGAACCCAGAUGGGACUAGCUAGUAGGCGGGGUAAUGGCCCACCUAGGCGACGAUCCCUAGCUGGUCUGAGAGGAUGACCAGCCACACUGGAACUGAGACACGGUCCAGACUCCUACGGGAGGCAGCAGUGGGGAAUAUUGCACAAUGGGCGCAAGCCUGAUGCAGCCAUGCCGCGUGUAUGAAGAAGGCCUUCGGGUUGUAAAGUACUUUCAGCGGGGAGGAAGGCGGUGCGGUUAAUAACCGUACCGAUUGACGUUACCCGCUGAAGAAGCACCGGCUAACUCCGUGCCAGCAGCCGCCGUAA
RNAcentral lists this ribosomal RNA (504 nucleotides) under uncultured bacterium. RNAcentral describes it as "partial 16S ribosomal RNA". It matches the Rfam family "Bacterial small subunit ribosomal RNA", at positions 29 to 523 of the family's 1533-position model. The record is from RNAcentral.